GAUGAACGCUAGCUACAGGCUUAACACAUGCAAGUCGUGGGGCAUCAUGAUGUAGUAAUACAUUGAUGGCGACCGGCGCACGGGUGAGUAACGCGUAUCCAACCUACCCUCCACUCAAGUAUAGGCUUCCGAAAGGGAGAUUAAUCCUUGAUAUCGUCAUUCUCUCUCCUGUUAGAAUGAUAAAAGGACAUCGUUUCGGUAGAGGAUGGGGAUGCGUUCCAUUAGGUAGUAGGUGGUUUAACAGGCCACCUAGCCGAUGAUGGAUAGGGGUUCUGAGAGGAAUAUCCCCCACACUGGUACUGAGAUACGGACCAGACUCCUACGGGAGGCAGCAGUGAGGAAUAUUGGUCAAUGGGCGCAAGCCUGAACCAGCCAUGUAGCGUGAAGGAUGACGGUUUUUUUGAUUGUAAACUUCUUUUCUGUGCGAUUAAAGUGUGGCAUUUAUGCCAUAGAGCAGUAUCUCAGGA
This 467-nucleotide ribosomal RNA is filed under the name Bacteroidetes bacterium oral taxon 272. RNAcentral describes it as "bacterial SSU rRNA". It matches the Rfam family "Bacterial small subunit ribosomal RNA", at positions 28 to 485 of the family's 1533-position model. The record is from RNAcentral. Lineage: Bacteria; Pseudomonadati; Bacteroidota.